This 487-nucleotide ribosomal RNA is filed under the name uncultured bacterium. RNAcentral's name for it is "bacterial SSU rRNA". It matches the Rfam family "Archaeal small subunit ribosomal RNA", at positions 723 to 1208 of the family's 1478-position model. The record is from RNAcentral.
AGUGAAUAGAUACCCAGGUAGUCCUAGCCGUAAACGAUACUCGCUAGGUGUCGGCCACGGUGCGACCGUUGUCGGUGCCGUAGGGAAAGCCGUGAAGCGAGCCACCUGGGAAGUACGGCCGCAAGGCUGAAACUUAAAGGAAUUGGCGGGGGAGCACCACAACGGGUGGAGCUUGCGGUUUAAAUUGGAUUCAACGCCGGAAAUCUUACCGGGACCGACAGCAACAUGAAGGCCAGGCUGAAGACUUUGCCGGAUUAGCUGAGAGGUGGUGCAUGGCCGUCGUCAGUUCGUACUGUGAAGCAUCCUGUUAAGUCAGGCAACGAGCGAGACCCACGCCCACAGUUGCCAGCGUACUCUCCGGAGUGACGGGUACACUGUGGGGACCGCCGCUGCUAAAGCGGAGGAAGGAAUGGGCAACGGUAGGUCAGUAUGCCCCGAAUAUCCCGGGCCACACGCGAGCUACAAUGGUUGGUACAAUGGGUAUCUA